Molecule: long non-coding RNA, 403 nt
Organism: Ailuropoda melanoleuca (giant panda)
Lineage: Eukaryota; Metazoa; Chordata; Mammalia; Carnivora; Ursidae
Exons: 2
Source: RefSeq, a predicted model, not a curated record
AGCAGAGUCACGGCAAAUCGGAGUGAUACUCGCUCUGGGCCACAGAGGGAAGUGGGUCACCGGAGACGAUUAGAACUGCAAGCUUUGUCUUCGAGAGGUGCUCCCAGGGUACCGGUCUGUGCGGGGCCUUGUGCUGAGCCCGGGAGCAUUAAUGAGUAUGCAGCCCUGCCCAGAGUGAGUUGCUAUUCUGGCCCUGAGCCUGAGUAUCCUGACCGUUACCCAUCAUCACCCAGUGGGAUCGAUGCUGAGCAGUCUCAUGGGAACCCUAAGGAGCGAGCCGAGCCCCAGGGCCACCCCAGAGGUGAUGGGAGAAGAAAGGAGAUGGCAUCGCUUCGGAGGGGAAACUUCCUGAUUUGUCCUGGUGUCAUGAAAUCAUUUUAUUGACUAUAAUUUUCAACAUUCA